GUUCAGAAGCUGAGACGGGACUUCUAAGAGACUUAAAGCUGCACAUGCUUGUCUGCGCCCCGUCGUGCUCCGCGGAAGGCGGAAGGAACCUGAGUCACCCGUGUCCAGGCCUUCCACGCCAACACCUAAGUCCCGGCGGGUCAGGGCCCCCGACAGCAAGUACACCCGAGCAGUGCCCUCGGCUCCUGGGCACAUGGGCAGCCACUCACUGCAAGGAGGCGCGCCUCCCGGCUACGCAAGCCCCCAGCCUGGAGAAGCCCCGGACUUCCUCUCUCACCCAGCUCCAGCCUCUGCUGUCCCCUCGCUUCUCCAAAGCCAGACAUUCACAGUCAACUGCUACAUGCUUCCUGGACAAUGUCUUUAUUUUUACUCCCCAGCUUGUGGGCUGAGUCUGUGUGGGUGUGGGAGGAGAGCUGGGUAUUUUCUACUUCUCUGCAUUUUCCUUCUGAACUGGGCUUUCACUUCCUCCCCCAACUCUCAGUUCUGCCUUUCCUGGGCUGUCCGGCCUCGAGACCACCUCGCCCAUCCCUCCAGACCACCAGGCAAAGAGAGACUGACUGCAAAGGGCUGCCGUUGCACUGCCCUGCAACCUCUUAGGAGCCAAGAUAUUCCGCUUCUUUGUCCUACGUCCUGCUCACCUGUAAGACGCACUGGGAUGUCUUCUGCAGGAAGGCGGUCGGCUCUCUUCCCCACUUCCCUGGAACGCGUUCAUCCACAAAGUCGGGUUGGGGGCCCAUCUCUUUGCUCCCCCAAAGCCCACACUGACGUUGAUCACCACCCUGAUUUGCCCACCACAACACAAAGCCCAGCGGUGUAUCCUCACUGCUGACAGGGCCCGGCCCCGUGGAGAGGGCUUCGUCUCCAGGGAGAUGUGCCCUCCAAGCUCUCUGGCCUCUGUCAAGCCCCACCAGAACUCUACACUAAGUGGACGCUCAAAAUUCUGGUUUUUGUUUUGUUUUGUUUUGUUUUUUUAAGAUUUUCUUUAUUUGAGGGGCGCCUGGGUGGCUCAGUCGUUAAGCGUCUGCCUUCGGCCCAGGGUGUGAUCCCACCGUUCUGGGAUCACCUCGCCUCAGGCUCCCCUGCUGGGAGCCUGCUUCUUCCUCUCCCACUCCCCCUGCUUGUGUUCCCUCUCUCUCUGGCUGUCUCUGUCAAAUGAAUAAAUAAAAUCUUUAAAAAAAAGAAAAAAAAAAA
Molecule: long non-coding RNA, 1191 nt
Filed under: Ursus maritimus (polar bear)
Lineage: Eukaryota; Metazoa; Chordata; Mammalia; Carnivora; Ursidae
Description: lncRNA (ENSUMAG00000019989.1)
Source: RNAcentral